This 84-nucleotide transfer RNA is filed under the name Polaribacter batillariae. RNAcentral's name for it is "Polaribacter sp. G4M1 tRNA-Leu". It matches the Rfam family "tRNA". From Rfam's summary of the family: Transfer RNA (tRNA) molecules are approximately 80 nucleotides in length. Their secondary structure includes four short double-helical elements and three loops (D, anti-codon, and T loops). The record is from RNAcentral. Lineage: Bacteria; Pseudomonadati; Bacteroidota; Flavobacteriia; Flavobacteriales; Flavobacteriaceae.
GCGCACGUGGCGAAAUUGGUAGACGCGCAGCCUUGAGGGGGCUGUAAACAAUAGUUUGUGUAGGUUCAAGUCCUAUCGUGCGCA